Molecule: non-coding RNA, 107 nt
Filed under: Dethiosulfatibacter aminovorans
Lineage: Bacteria; Bacillati; Bacillota; Tissierellia
Also listed under: 1 other name
Description: TPP sequence
Rfam family: TPP riboswitch aptamer (THI element)
About the family: Vitamin B(1) in its active form thiamin pyrophosphate (TPP) is an essential coenzyme that is synthesised by coupling of pyrimidine and thiazole moieties in bacteria.
Source: RNAcentral
CAUUGUAAACAUGGGAGCUGCAACAGCGGCUGAGAGUGAAGCGGAUGCUUCAGACCAUUGAACCUGAUCUGGGUAAUGCCAGCGUAGGAAACAUACAUUAGUAAUGU